GGAGCCGGCCGGCUGCCGAGCGCCGCCGAGCGUCGCCUGGGGAGCCGCGGAGGUCGAGUACCGGUCCGCGGGGUGGUGAGGGGCGUGCCGGGCUCGGCGGCGCCGUGGGGGUCUUCCGCCGCCGCGCGAGGUGGUUCCCGGGACUCCAGACUAAAAAGUCAGACCAGUGCUGGACGAGGUGGCGCACGCCUUUAAUCCCAGCGCUCGGGGAGGCAGAGGCAGGAGGAUCUCUGUGAGUUCGAGGCCAGCCUGGUCUACAGCGCGAGUUCCAGGAAAGCCAGAGCUGUUACACAGAGAAACCCUGUCCCGAAAAACCAAAACUUAAUUAAAAAAAAAAAUCAACCCAGCGAUAAAAGAACAAUCUCCGUUUAUUAAACAUGAUUUUUCUGUUUCACCACACACUCCAGAAAAAAAGGAAAUGGGGCUGGGAGUGGGAGAAAGGGGGCGGGGCUAGGAGUAGGGGCGGUAAAGAGAACGAGUAAACAAAGAAAAAUGAGUACCAAGAAGGUCUUCGCACUCUUAAGGUAGGUGGGUGGGGAGAGAAGUGAGGGGUGGGGCUAGGGAGCCAGGAAGCUCUGUACAGAGGGGUCGCCUCCCAGCCCCCAGCCCGUUAUGUACAGUACAAACCCCAGAUAAUUACAACAGCCAAAGAGGAGGGGGGAGGUACGAGGGUAGGGCCUGAAGUGGGGUAAGCAGAGGAAAGGGAACGGGAUAAAAUUUCACAUAUUUACAACUUU
Molecule: long non-coding RNA, 737 nt
Organism: Peromyscus californicus insignis
Lineage: Eukaryota; Metazoa; Chordata; Mammalia; Rodentia; Cricetidae
Exons: 2
Source: RefSeq, a predicted model, not a curated record